RNAcentral lists this non-coding RNA (129 nucleotides) under Williamsia sp. Lineage: Bacteria; Bacillati; Actinomycetota; Actinomycetes; Mycobacteriales; Nocardiaceae. The record is from RNAcentral.
GGCCCCAUCAUCGGGGACGAUAGUCUGAUCCCAGACCUGCGAUAGGGAAGCCGGUGCGAUUCCGGCGCGGUCGCGCCACUGUGUCGGGGAGACCCGGAGUCAGACCCCUGUCGCUCCAUCGCUGCACUA